RNAcentral lists this unclassified non-coding RNA (539 nucleotides) under Sodalis-like secondary symbiont of Cantao ocellatus. Its description in RNAcentral is "partial 16S-23S ribosomal RNA intergenic spacer". The stretch from base 236 to 308 matches the Rfam family "tRNA". Lineage: Bacteria; Pseudomonadati; Pseudomonadota; Gammaproteobacteria; Enterobacterales; Bruguierivoracaceae. The record is from RNAcentral.
AAGGGUGAGGUCGGUGGUUCAAGUCCACUCAGGCCUACCAGUUUCGCUUAUCCCGAUGAAUGAGACCGCAGCGUGUUGCCGCCAGGCGAGCGUGUCAGGCGGUGUCCGGCAUGCGGCGAAAAGGGAGACUGGCUGUCGUCCUGUUUACUGACUGUGAUGAACGAGGCAUUACCUGUGCACGCAGGUAGGCGGACUCAGCGCGGGUGACCGACGGCAUAUGCAAGGUGAACGACUUGGGGCUAUAGCUCAGCUGGGAGAGCGCCUGCUUUGCACGCAGGAGGUCAGCGGUUCGAUCCCGCUUAGCUCCACCAUUCCGUCAUGGAAUGUUUUUGUCAUCCUGCGGGAUGAGAGGUUUUUCUGUCGUUGACUUAUUUCAGAGCGCGUUUAUCGAGCGCGCUGCGAAAUACCGCUCUUUAACAAUCCGGAACAAGCUGAAAAUUUGAAACACAUGCUGAAGUGCAAACUCAGUAUGCGAGUCUCUCAAACGAAGUAAGCAAACCUGAGAUAACGCGUAAGCGUUAUCACUGUAGCACGACAGG